Molecule: non-coding RNA, 73 nt
Organism: Stegodyphus mimosarum
Lineage: Eukaryota; Metazoa; Arthropoda; Arachnida; Araneae; Eresidae
Source: Rfam
GCCUUUGUGGUGUAGUGGUCAACACGCUCGACGCGUAACCGAGAGGACCGUGGCUCGCUUCCCGGUGAACGCG